This 69-nucleotide transfer RNA is filed under the name Urocitellus parryii (Arctic ground squirrel). Its description in RNAcentral is "Spermophilus parryii (Arctic ground squirrel) tRNA". It matches the Rfam family "tRNA". From Rfam's summary of the family: Transfer RNA (tRNA) molecules are approximately 80 nucleotides in length. Their secondary structure includes four short double-helical elements and three loops (D, anti-codon, and T loops). Further hydrogen bonds mediate the characteristic L-shaped molecular structure. tRNAs have two regions of fundamental functional importance: the anti-codon, which is responsible for specific mRNA codon recognition, and the 3' end, to which the tRNAs corresponding amino acid is attached (by aminoacyl-tRNA synthetases). tRNAs cope with the degeneracy of the genetic code in two manners: having more than one tRNA (with a specific anti-codon) for a particular amino acid; and 'wobble' base-pairing, i.e. permitting non-standard base-pairing at the 3rd anti-codon position. The record is from Rfam by way of RNAcentral. RNAcentral also lists the same sequence under 2 other names. Lineage: Eukaryota; Metazoa; Chordata; Mammalia; Rodentia; Sciuridae.
GGAGAUGUAGCUCAGUGGAAGGGUGUUUACCUAACAUGUGUGAGGCCCUGGGUUCAAUUCCCAGCACCA